AUGAAGCCCAAUUUAUCAAUUUUAUCUCAUGUGAUUAAUGCUUUUUGUGUCCUCUCUUUAUCUGUCUCAACAUUGCAAAGAUUUCCUUCUAAAUGUUUGAUAGUUUUAACUUUUACAUUUAUGUUGAUCAGUUUUCUCUUAAUUUUUUUCUUAAAGAUUUUAUUUAUUCAUGAGAGACACAGACAGAGAGGCAGAGACACAGGCCGAGGGAGAAGCAGGCUCUCUGUGGGGAGCCUGAUGUGGGACUCCAUCCCAGGACUCCAGGAUCACGCCCUGGGCCAAAGGCAGACAACCACUGAGCCACCCAGGGGACCCAUGUUAAUUUUUGUGUAUGGUGUAAGAAAAGGGUUGAAAUCAAUGGUGAUGACCUCAACCAUCUUCUCAGCCCUGGGGAUCCUUAACCAACUGAACCACCCAGGAGCCCCAGAAACCAGUACUUGUUAUUAUUGUUUUACACAGGAGAAGGGGAGGCACGUGAAGGCAGUGGCUUGUCUAAGGUCCAAGGCCACAUCACCAGGUGGUGGGCCAGGACUGACCUGGGUGGUCUUGACCACUGCGCCAUGUUGCUCCCCCUGCCCUGUUUGGCUACCUCACCCCAUUCCGUGGAGGAGGUCCAUAGGCCACCUGAAGGGUCCCAGGAGACACUAUGGAUUUGUGAUGUACCUGGGGCUUGAGCUGGGGCGCAGGGUGGGGCCAGACUGGUGGCAGGACCUGGAGGCCAAGGAGGCCAAGGGGCCACAUCUCAGUCUCCGCGAGGGCAGGCGGGGAGGAGCCCACUAUGUGGCCCUUCACCGCAAAGCCUGCAGGAGGUCAGAGUCUUACAUCAAGGGUUCUCUGGCUCCAUUCCAUAGGCAGCAGGGAAUCAAAGAUAAAGGAGAACCAGAUACCCAAAGUAAGACAAGGAUGCUGAGGUGGAGCCCAGGUCCCAUAACCAAGGCUCUGGCCAUGGAGCAAAAUCCCAGGGGUAGAUGCCAACGUUCUGCAGACACACACACACACACACACACACACACACACACACCCCACAGCUUUCUUUGGAGGCAGACCAUGAAGAUGCAUCCACAGAGGCCCAGGUGA
RNAcentral lists this long non-coding RNA (1077 nucleotides) under Vulpes vulpes (red fox). Its description in RNAcentral is "lncRNA (ENSVVUG00000019452.1)". The record is from RNAcentral. Lineage: Eukaryota; Metazoa; Chordata; Mammalia; Carnivora; Canidae.